Molecule: long non-coding RNA, 10415 nt
Organism: Corvus hawaiiensis (hawaiian crow)
Lineage: Eukaryota; Metazoa; Chordata; Aves; Passeriformes; Corvidae
Exons: 6
Source: RefSeq, a predicted model, not a curated record
UGUCUCUUAGCCCAUCCUUAAGAUCAUUGAAAGCAGGAAGCUGCUGAAAUUUCAUGAGUAACUUUUCCAAUUCCCCUGUACAUAUUCUAAAUUAAUGGAAAACACAAGACAGACUUUCUGAAAAGGUUACUUUUAUUUAGAUAAUAGAAUCCCAUCUUUGAAUUUUGCAGGAUAAAGGGGGGGUCCCUGGAAAAUGCAUAUUCUCAGCAAAGGAUAAUUUUUUGUGAUUUCUCAUGACAGUCAUGGUGACUGUCUAACCAGUUCUUUUUGCCCUUUUUGUUACCUUUCUACAGAUAACACAAUAAAAUACAAUUGGAAUGUUUAACUUCCCUUCUAUAAAUUUUUUUCCCUAGAUUUUUGUUCAAGUCUUGCAAGGGUUGUGGUUGAAGAAACAAGCAAAUUUUCGUUCAAGCAACUGGUUUUGUACUCAUAGCAAGACCUUGAAGAGAUACAGCAGAAAACAAAAGCAUGUUGACAGAACAGUUUAUUUGGACAUUAAUAUUAGCAUUUUUUUAUAAAAGCAGUCCCAACAUAAUCUGCAAGAAAAUCAGUUUGUGAAGGAGGCUGCCUACAGAAGCUGUAGAAGCUCCAUCCUCAGAGAUAUUGAAAAAUCAACCAAGCCUGGAGCAACCCACUGUGAUGUCAAAGUUAGCCCUGCUUUAGAGUUUGUGAGCCAGAUGGAUUGUUUUCACUGAGUGGACCAAGCUCCUGGAAAACAAACAAACCAAAGCAAACCCCUGUAUAAAUGUCCUUGUUUGAAAAAAAGAUGUGUAGAAAAGGAGACACAAGAUCACAGAAAGAAAACUUGGGUUCAACGACAAAGGCAGCAGGAUGCAGCCCUGAGUCUUGUCCUUGCCUUCAUCUCACCAACUCCCUGUGAUUUGGGCAAGCUCCUUAACACAGAUUUUUUCACAAGCAACAAUAAUUUUCUGAGUUCCCUCUUACAAGAAAUCCUACCUUUUGGUUGCUUUGCAUAUCUGCCCCUAAGAUGGGAUGCUUCAUGCUCCCCAAGUAAAUAUUUCUAGUUGCUAUAGUCAGCUAGGUCAGAUGCUAGCUCAGGUUUCUCCAGGGUAGAUGCUACAGCUUGAAGAAAAAGUGCCCUUGCAGAGCUUAGUUCAAAAUGGCUGCGAGUCCUUACAGCUGCACAGGAACACACUGGGGGCUAAAGUGAACACAGACAAUCCUAGAGAACACUGAACAAUCAGUUAAAACAAAAAUAAAAAUUCAUCUCCAGAUAUCACAUACUGGGCCCAAAAUACUUAGGUUCUUCCAAUAUUUUUGCAUUUGUAGAGUGAAAUUCCUGUUUUCUUAUCCUUCAGAACUUUUGAGAAAAAUUAACUAAUCCAUGAUCAAGAAGAAACUGGAUAAUAUACUGGUUACAGUACAUGAGCCUUUGAGAGCCACUGUGACUCCCACUCCUGUGUUCUUACAAGCACACUACAAACCCUUGGUUCUUAUAGGUUCAUUCUGAGCAUGGGAUCUUGGGAACAGCAGUGGACCAGCAAGAGCAGAGGAACCUUCAGUGUGCAGGAACCUUCUCUGUUGGGCACAGAGGCAGUGAUAAGGUGACAGAGUGGAUAUAAAGUGCUGAUAAGGAUGUACACCUCUGGCUCCCUCCACCAUUGCCAGUGUUGCAGCCAGAGGAGGUAGUUCCAGGGGAAACAGCCUUCUGCCUGUGAGAAGUGACAUCCCAGUCAUCCCAUCAGCAUUCACCAUUACUCCAUGGCAGUUUAGCAAAGAGCACUUGUUAUUCAGGAGCAGCAGCUUCCUCUGAAUGCUGUGCCUUUGCUUUCAGUGGGGCCACGAGGGACACAGAAAUGUUCAACAUGCACAGGAAUGGAGAUUCCCCAUUUUUAACCUCCCCUGCUCACUCUGAACUCUCCCACCCUCUGCCUUGUGACUGUCUAGGCUAGGUGACUGAAAUUCAUUGUAGGAUCACACAGUAGCAAGGAGCAGGAGAAAUGUACAGAGCGUUUCCAGUCCUCUCUGUUACCCUGAUGAUUUAUCUGUGUGUACUUCAUGUACCCCAAAACCAGACAAAGUGUUUAUAGGCAGGCUCUCUAGUAUCACACCACUGAACCCUGCUUGUCCAGUGAGCAGCUUCCGUGAAUUGUCUAUAUGAAUGUCCAAAAUGGGGCUGGCUUGCAGGUGCAAACAGUGUUUACUAAUACUGGUAUGACUAGCUAUCCCUGAUAUUGAGUCAAGAUUAUGAAGAGUUAAACUUUACCUAGGAGUUAGAAGCAAUUUGUACUGAUUGAACCAAAGGAUAAGUUAAUGAAGAGUUAGAAAUUUAGCCAAGAAGUAUAGUGCUAUUCACUAUUAUGUACCUGUCUGAAACUUUGCUUAUAGUAAAUGAACUGUCAUAAGGAUAAAAGAAGCUGAUAGAAUUAUAGCUAGCACCUAGAUUGCAUGAUCAAAUACAGGGGGGAGGUAUAGACCAUCUCCAGAAGGCUUGCCAAGGCUUGCCACAAUAGAAGGUAGGAAGUUCAUGGUGAUGAAGAGAUCCCUGACUUCAUCUUUCAAGACCACCGACCCAAAUCAAGAAAAGAAUUGUGCAUGUCCAAAGGACUAGUAACCUCAUUUUAACAGGAAGCAGCAAUGGGAGGUGCUGGAGGUACGUAUAUGAUUAAUAUGUAGCACUUUGUGAAAUAAACAGUGGGCAAAUAACCGUGUAAGGGGCUGGCACAUCUCUAGGAGGUGACUCCCAUGCUGCCCACCUGCAUAAUAAACAUACCACUUUCUAACUUUAUUUAGUUAGAGUUUUUGUCCGUGAAUAUCGGGUUUUUAACAAUUCAAUAUAUGACUUGAUGUUCUUGUUACUCUUCUAUGGGCUUUGAAAUCUGCUCCAGAUUGUUCCAAAUAGAGAAAAACAAAAGACAAACUUCUGGGCUGUGUCCUAGCAUGGAGUGUAAAGCAGCAGCAGCUCUUUAAAUUGCUGCGGCAACUCUGGCGAAAUUAGGGAAACACAAUAAACUAAAACUUUUUGUCAGUAUGGUUGGAUCAGAGUUUGUGUGUAUUAAAAUAAUAGAUGAACGAUGUCAACAGAUUAUUAUAUUCUCUGAAGAGUUGAAAUUGUGGGGGAAAAAAGCAGGUUUUUGUAAAAAUAUGUUAUUGAAGAGGUGAGACUCAAAGCACCCAUGGUUGCUUUGCCUUUUUUUGUCUUGUGUACUUGUACAGUACUUUGUCAAAUAUAACCAAAGAGUAGCAUCCAGAAAUAUUUGAAAUAUAAAUAAAAAUCACAUAUUGUGAAUUUUAAUCGAUAGAGGCAAAGAUGUUUAUUCACUGGAACAAAGUUGAGACUUUAGCACUAUGAAAGAGCUAAAGAGAUUGUAGAGGACAAGUGAGAAUUCAAGUAUUGAUAGGUGGCUCUUCGGAAAGAAAGCAAAUCAAGGAAUUAAAUCAAGUUUAAACUCAGGAAAAUACAUUUCCUCAAAAAGAUUUCAGUUUGUUAGAGUGCAACUACACAUAGUAAUGCUAGUCUAUUCCUAUGUAAUGAAGACAGUACAUAGUGAACUUGCAAGGCAUGGAUGACUGGUAGGCAUGGUCCAGAAGACAGUGGAUGUGAUGUCCCCUGAGAAAUAAAUAAUAAUAAAACCUGUCCAAAACCUCAGAUAUGAAAGACCAUGGUAUUUCUUGUCACUUCCCAGAUACCUACAUUACUGGCAACAUCUUGUCAUUUGCUUUUUCUAACCACAGGAUUCCUUCUGAAGUGACUCCCACUGUGUACCAGAGAGCAUCUAUUUUUGUACAGCUCCCAUGGUAGCUAGUUCCCCAUCUUUAAAAAUCAAUGUUGUGUGGCUUAGGGGAGGGAUAGAAUUGAAUUCAUGCUGAUAUAACACUUUCUUGCAAACCCUUCCAUGUAUUUAUACUGGUGGAGACUCUGUGAUUUCUAAGAUUUACAUUACAUGGAGCUGGUCCUUAAAAUUGCAUUUACUUGUUUCAUUUCUGGGUGACUGCAUGAAAUCUAACUUACUCUCAUACACGUGUCAAUAGAAUCUUAGACCUAAGAAUCUGAUAAACACAGUCUUCUGGCAUCCCAGAGGAGCAAGAGAUCCAUUUAAUCUUUGGCAAGGGGGAAGGAAUAUGUCUUUGCACUGAAUGUAUGAAAAAGUGAAUUGAAACUGAUGAUGGUGCAAGUUCAUAUUAUCCUAAACUACAAGGUCUUGGAGGCCUUUUUCAUUGCCAGUCACCGCAAUUAGCAAAAGCUAUAUUCAGCAACUUUAAAUCAAGUCCUCUGUGCUCUGGCUGAAGUAACAAGUUUAGCUUAAAAUGAGGGUUUUGGGCUAAUUUGUACAUUUCUCAGAAGUAGGGUGAAUAUAUGAAACUGGUAAACUUCUCAAGGCUGCUUCAGGAAUAUAAAUAGCCACUGUGUGAUUCCUGAGAGACAGGUAGUAUAACCUGAGGUUUUAAAAGUACUAGAAAUAUUAUUAUUUUUAUCUGAUAAUUAAAGAAUACUACUUCCUCACUUGAGAAGGAGAAAAGCUGUUUUUCUUGUCAUCAUUAUGAUUUCUUGUUGUUUAUAUGUUCUAGUGUUUAUAUGGAGUGUUCUUCAGUUGUGUGGAUAAUACAAUUUGGGAGUUACCUUUGUUAAAAUAGAUCAAAAACUGAGUUGAAAAGGAUUUUUGAUAAUGGCUAGUCUAUCCUUCUGCCUUAAAGUGUGAGCACGUGUGCCUAAACCAUACCUGGUGGAUAUUUUAUUGAAGUUCUCUUCAAAAUGUUCAGUGUGCUGAAGAACUUUACAGGAAUAUGGCAUAAUAGGACAUGCAAGGAAGGUGAACAGUAAAGGGGGGAUCCUGUGGCAAAUGCAUGAAAAAGUUUUUCAGUAUUAUUUUGUGGUCUGCUUUUCCCUUCCAAAACAUUUCAUUCCUUCUGUUUAGUACUGCCUGAGGAUUUGUGAACAGAGCUUUCAUUUGAUAGCUGCAUCAGAAGCGAAACUGCUUGAACAAUCCUGGAUGACCUACCCAUUUUCCUUUCUCUCAAUUACAUGAGUUCCUCUCUCAAUUACAUGAGUGCGCAGCACUCCUGAGUCCACCUCUCCAACAAGUUGUGCCCCCUCAUGCUGGCAGAUUCCUUGGUUGCUUAUAUUAAUUUCACAGGACAGGAUGUCAAAAAUCUUACUGAAGUCAGGAUGAUGUGACAGCUACUGCUUCUCCUGUAUAAUUUAGACUUUUUAUCCUGUCACAAAAGUAAUAAUUUGUCAUAAUUUGUCCACAAUGAAAUAUGUGGGCUUAUUCCUCCUCCAAUUUCCAUUUUCUGCAAGUGCUUCUGGUGGUAGGUUUUCAGGCAUGGGAGAUUACCUAUCUAGACUGAUGCACUCACUCUUUCUGCCCCCAUAUCUCAAGGACAGUCAUUCUGAGCCUGUUUUUUAUCAGCUUGGACCCCAACACAUCAGUCAGAUCUUCAGGAAGGCAAUAGGAAGUCCCCACUGAGUCAAACCAAAGACCUGUUAUCCCAGGAUGCAGCCUGCCUGCCAUCCACUGGCCAGAAGCACAUGGGUAUGAAUCGUUAAAAAGCCCGGUAUUCACGGACAAAAACUCUCCAACUAAUUAAAGUUAGAAAGUGAUAUGUUUAUUAUGGAGAUGGAGCAAAUUGUUUCUUAACCUUUUGAAUGAAAAAUUAAUUUAUAAUGGCCAUGGAAGACCAGCAUCAUAAAUCAAUUAUUCUGCAGUUUGUGAACAAAUCUUGGCUUUGUUAAAAUUGCAUUCUUUUAUGCACUUGGAGUUAGCAAUGCAAAUUCAAGUGUUAGCUUUGUUUUAUAUGUAACUGAAAAGCACUAUAUAAAAGCUAGGAAUUACUAUUUAUUUACUGUAUGAUAUUCAUAGUGAGCAGUAUGUGAAAUUAUGUGAAAAUGUCUCCUCUUUGCAUGAGCUGACCUUUAUAAGCUUUCUCUUCUCAACUAAAUAAAUCUUAGAAUUCAGUUUUCUCUUGCACACCUGUAAAUGAAACCACUGUCAGAUGGAGAAUAUUAAUGAAUACUAAACCAAAAAAGUACAUAGUUGAAAAAUUCACUGCUUGCUCAGCUUACAUCCAUACCCUGGGGAUAUUUUUCUGCAGUAAAUGGAGAUUUAUUCUACAGAAUUUAAGCUUUUUUUUCCCCCCAUCCUUUAAAGCCCAAAGGUUUGUGUGGAGAACUUUUCAUUAUUAGAUGUGACUUAUAGGAUAUUGUUCAGCAGCUAAAGUGUUCUGAACAAAAUAAUAAUUGUGUGACCUCUACUUUUUUAAUAGUGAUUUUUCAAGCCAGUCAACAGUGUGAAGAAAGUGUAAACAUUAACUGUUGUACUGGUGAGGUCCAGAACUCACUACUGUGUCUAUUUGCUGACUCAUACAGGGAAAGGUUUCUGGCUGCAGAGCACUGACUUAGUCCCUUUUCCAUCCCCCCCUGACCCUUUCUCACCAUGCUUAAAAGCCAGGGGCUUUACACACUCAAGAGCUGUGGAAACUGAAGUUGCACAGGGCAAUUCCCACCCAGUGACCCUUUGGAAGAGCUCAAUCUCUCGACAUAAUGCUGUGUUCAUUCCCAAGACAAACACUGCCAUCAGUAGUGGGGCAUACUGUGAUUUGAAAACCAGCACCACUCUUCCUGUAGAUAUGAUAUAAUGCUUAUAACCCAAUGUAGACAGAAAUUUGCUAAGAAGUGCCAUGUCUGCCAGAAAGCCAGCUGGACUUCAGCAACUACAGCAUCUAAAAACAAUGUGUGCAUGUAUUUUCUGGACCACACAGAAGGCAUCCUCUCACAGAAAAUGAAAACAAUCAGCAGCAGAACAGAAACAGGAUGGAUUACUUCAAAUAAAACCUUAUCUUGUUUCUAUCAAUAGCAUGAUUAUGCUGGUGCUUUACUCAAGGGUAAAGAUAGGGAGUAUUUUUUUAUAGUCUGAUGAAACAAGUAGUGAUUUUUUCCCUGCUUGUUUUGAGGAGCUUCAAGACUCAAUAACAAAACAUUGUUCUUUCAGUUAUGAGUUCUGCUUUUGCUGCCAAUUUCAGGAAGAUUCUCUAAGGCCAUGUUUCACACUAGCAUGAAUGUGUUUUUUUUAUAAUAUUCCCAUCAACAACUGAAAAGUGUGUUACAUAAGUGUGAACAUAUCAUAACAACUUUAAUGUUAACUCAUGUAAGAGCUUUUCCACACAAAACAAUUUAGAAGAACUCAGGCCAAGCAAAAAGAGUGAUAUGUAUAAAGAACAGUUUUAACAUCUGUGUUGUGUUGCCUUCAUUUGGGAAUAAAGUGACUUUAGCUGAGGUCAUUUCAAUGCCAACCUAAAAGUAAAGGUGUACCUUUCCCUUCCAAGGGAUUACAGGUAAGAAAUGUCUCUUCCAGACAAAGAUUUUCAUCUUUUGAUAUGAUGUCAUUUUGGUAACUGCUGAAAUAAUCUACUUUUUAUCUUGCAAGAUGCAGUCCCUGUCAGGGUUCAAUAUGAUCAAUUUUACUGAUGUUUUAAGAGUUUCAUUCUGUCCACACAACUGUGUAUGACUUGGACCUUAUUGGCUCUGCCAAGUACUGUGAAGCAAGGAUUACAUAAAGAGUUGUAUUUAAAGGAUGUGAAUUAUUUCAGUCUUGGCAAAAGAGUAGUUGAUGAAAAAUUUUCUUUGGUUCCCAAUGGUUACUGUGAAGAAAAGAAUCUUGACUUCUAGGGAAAUUUAAUUUUUGAGUCAACGGAUAUGAGAUCAAUCUUGGGUUUUUUCAGAUCAUCUCUUCUUACAGUUUGUCAUUGUGCUUGUUCUUAUGUUGUCUCCUCCAGAUGUUUUUAGUUUUUCACUAAAUAGUUUUGGGAUGAAUUUUUUGAAUGCACUUCAUUUUGUUUGGAUGCCCCAGUUAAGGGUGAAAUAUGUGUUUAUCUAGAUAUGCUUAGUUGUAGAGGCAAAGGAAAUUGUGUAGUUUGUUGUUUAUGAUACUGUUUUAUAUUCUAGCUUAGAAGCCUGAAUCUUCAGAUUUGAACAAUUCUCUUCCAUGACAAAAGUUGAACCUUUCUGACCUGUAAAAAUGCUUAUAAACAGAAGCUUGCAAAGUCUUCUAAGAAAAUCAGUCUGGUACAAUUGCAGUAAAGUGCUUCUUAUAAUUUUCUUCCUUCCUUUUUUUACUCAUACCUUUACUCAUGUAGAAUAUUUUCUCAUCUAGUAGUUGCUAGUUAAGUAAAAUCUUUCUUUAAAAUUCUGCUUUUAAGUUUUUAUUCAGCACUUCACUUUUUUCCUCUCAGAUUUCUUAAAAACUCCUGCAAUUUUGGCACAUUUACCACCAUAACCCAAAUCCAGCAAUUUUUUUUGUUUUGUGGCAUACUCUGUAUUCUUUUCAGGCCUUUUUUUGUCCUUUUGCAGCUUCUGAGAAAAUAACAUUCACUUAUUUGAACAUGCUAGGCCAUUUGAGGUUAUAUUUGUCUGUCAGCUCUUUUAGCUCUGUCCUUCAUGUUAACAAAUUUUGCAGAAGACAAACCCAUCUUGCUAUGGAGGUAUUGUAAAAUACAUAUACAAAUGACAAUGUUGCAGAAACUAACCAGAGGCAAAGAUCUGUCACAAGUCUGCUUAAUUACUCUCUUAUUCACCGAUUCUCUUUGCAUUAUUGAAAAACCUAUAAAAUCAAAACACUGCUUUCUAGAGCCUGCGUUCCUUACUGAAAGUAAUAAUAGCAGUUGUUAACAAUUAGACUCAGGACAAGCAAGUUCAUGCCUGAGCCCAAACUUGCAAAUGUGGUUUUAACGUGCAAAAAAAUUGUGACACAUUCUUCAGCAACAGAAUGAAACCUAAACCAUGCCUGGUGAGAAGAGUAUACUAUACCUAAUACCUGUUCAACUAUAAUAUCUUCUACAGAUACUAUCUCAAGCCAGCAAGAAUACCGGGAUCCUUACAGCACUGCAAACACAGCCAAGAUCUUUUGGAACAAGGAAAGCGACCAUCAGGCUCUUCUGUAAUUUGUUCACUUUGUCACCUUUUAUGUUGUUUAUUAUGGUGUCCUCCUCACUAAGAGCCCUCAUCAUUCCUGCCCUGUCCUUGAGGUUUCACUUCAAGCACUGAAAUGGUGACAAACUGACACACAAAGGACAGUCUCCUAGAUCUGAGCCAGCACGGUUCCAUCUGCUGUUUAGCAGGGGUUCAUGGAAAAGGGGGCAGCCCAAAUGCUCCCAUUAAAAGUAGAAAUAAUUUCAUUUCUGCGUAAAACCACAUUAGCCUUAUUUAGCAGACCCCUUGUUCCUCAAUGUGUGGAGACUUUGUUCAGUGGUGAAUCCCAGCAGUGGCUGGUUUUUAGCCUCAGGCCAUAGGCUGCACAUAACCAUUGGCCUUCUCCCGACUUUGAUCAUUGCCUUAUCAAACAAUGCUAUUUUCAUGAGCUCUAUGCACGGUUUUAGCAUAAUUUCUCAAAACACACAUUUUAUAGCUAAUCUGUGAUAAUUAUAACUUAAUUUGGAGAAGAAGAGGGUGUGAGGGCAAAAGGUUUAAUUGCUGAUACAUGGCUGGAGCUCUGUACCAUCAUCAGAUGAAGUGCUGUAUAAUUUGUAGAGUUUUACCUUGUAAUAGCUCUAAUGGUGUGAUACCCCUAACUAGUUUUCCAAGUAUAUUUGCAAAUUUCAUUGUUAAUAACAAUCUUAAUCUGGUAUUCAUUAGCCUGUUAAUUAUAUUGUCAUUUAGAAACCCUUGCUUCCAAUUAGCUUUAAUGACAACAUCAGAAUAAUUUUUCUGUGCUGCCAUUUUUGUGCAACACUUUCCCAUUCAAACUGCCUGCUGUUCUAUCUUAAUUAAAUUUAAUAACAGUAGUGGUAGUUUAUAGGGGACUUUUUAACCUCAUUUAAUGUCAGACCAUUUAUACUAGUUUGAAGUAGGCACUGAAAAUGUUUGCAUUAAUCCAGUUACUUUUAAAAGGAGCAAACUUCACUUUUCAGAUUAUUUUAAUUAAGGCAAAAUCGCCAUGAAAGGUCAAACUCCCUACCUGUGCAAAUAUGUAGAAACAUUAGGGGGUUUUCUAAGUACAAUGAAGAUACAUUAAAAAAUCAACAAUAUCAAGAAACACUAAAGCACUAAUAUAAAGAAGGAAGCCAUAACUUUUGUUUGUUUUAAUAGAGGAGGAAAGGGUGAAAAAGCUGUCAGUGUCAUUAGUGACUCAGUAUUGCCAUUCAGACCAAAUUUCAGGUAGGGAAUGGUUGCGGCAUUUUUUAUCUUGGGAAAGCUCCACAGGGCCUGAAUAAUAUGCUUAACAUUAUGCAGCACCCUUGAAGUUGCACCGUGAGACUAAAAUCAUGGUUCUCAUUAAAAAUAAUUAUCUUUUUAGCCUAUGUAAAUUUAAAGCACUUCAGAGAAUCUUUCCAGGAGAUUACAGAAAAUGACAAAAAAAUAGAUUGAAAGAGAUGCUAGAGGUCACUGUCAUGGGUUAGCAAGCAUAGUCCCGGAAGUGAUGUUCUUGCAAAGGGGUUCUUACAGCUCCUCUAUGACCUGA